GAUGAACGCUGGCGGCGUGCUUAACACAUGCAAGUCGAACGGAAAGGCCCAAGCUUGCUUGGGUUCUCGAGUGGCGAACGGGUGAGUAACACGUGGGUGAACUGCCCUGCACUUCGGGAUAAGCCUGGGGAAAUGGGUCUCAUAUUGGAUAGGAUCUAUUCUUGGACGUUGUUGUGGAGAGAUUUUUGGGUGUGGGAUGAGUUGGCGGCCUAUCCGCUUGUUAGGGGGGUAAUGGCCUACCAAGGCGUUGACGGGUAGCCGGCCAGUGAGAGUGUACGGCGGCAUUGGGACUUAGGGAAGGCCCAGGCUGCGACGGGUGGCAGAUGUGGGGAAGAUUGCACAAGGGGCGCAAGCCGGAUGCAGCGAGGCCGCGGGGGGGAUGACGGUGUUCGGGGUGAAAACCCCAUUCGCAAGGGACGAAGCGUUUUGUGACGGUACCUGGAGAAGAAGCACCGGCUAACUACGUG
RNAcentral lists this ribosomal RNA (467 nucleotides) under uncultured bacterium. RNAcentral describes it as "partial 16S ribosomal RNA". It matches the Rfam family "Bacterial small subunit ribosomal RNA", at positions 28 to 507 of the family's 1533-position model. The record is from RNAcentral.